This 441-nucleotide ribosomal RNA is filed under the name uncultured bacterium. RNAcentral describes it as "partial 16S ribosomal RNA". It matches the Rfam family "Bacterial small subunit ribosomal RNA", at positions 338 to 795 of the family's 1533-position model. The record is from RNAcentral.
CCUACGGGAGGCAGCAGUGGGGAAUAUUGCACAAUGGGGGAAACCCUGAUGCAGCAACGCCGCGUGAGUGAAGAAGUCUUUCGGUAUGUAAAGCUCUAUCAACAGGGAAGAAGAACGCCGGUACCUGGCUACGAAGCCCCGGCUAACUACGUGCCAGCAGCCGCGGUACUACGUAGGGGGCAAGCGUUAUCCGGAUUUACUGGGUGUAAAGGGAGCGUAGACGGCUGUGCAAGUCUGAAGUGAAAGCCCGUGGCUCAACCGCGGAACUGCUUUGGAAACUGGAGAGCUUGAGGACGGGAGAGGCAGGCGGAAUUCCUAGUGUAGCGGUGAAAUGCGUAGAUAUUAGGAGGAACACCAGUGGCGAAGGCGGCUCACUGGACUGUAACUGACGUUGAGGCUCGAAAGCGUGGGGAGCAAACAGGAUUAGAUACCCUUGUAGUC